AUGGCAGAUCUGAGCCAACUAUCUUCUUUUCUCUCAGUUUCCUCCUCUUAUUCCAGUUUCCCUCCUUUCCUUUCACUUUUCAGAGAUAUUUGUUGAUAUGUGGACAUCAUGGAUUAUGCCGAUAGGAGCUUCUUGGGAUACUGAGGCUGCCAACAAUCUCCAGUUGCCUCCCAGGCUCGAACCCGGACAUGAGAGCCACAGGCCGGCUCCAACAUUGAAGAAAGUCAAUGAAGAAGAUAUCAGAAGAUUGAAAGAUGUUCCAGGCUUGUGGAAUGGUAGGAUUAACAUAGUAAAAUGACAUUCCUAUCAAAGUAAUGUAAAGAUUCAAAGCAAUCCCAUCAAAAUUCCAACAUUAUUCUACAAAGAACUUGAAUGGAAAAUUUUCAGCUUUAUAUGGGAACACAAAAAACUCAGAAUAGCUAAAACAAUCCUGAAUAAUAAAAGAAUGGUUAGUAGUAUCACUGUUCUGAUCUCAAGUUGAAUUCAAGCACCAUGGUAAUAAGAACAGCAUGAUAUUGAAUUAAAAACAGCUAUGUUGAUCAAUAGAAUUGAAUAGAAGAUGAAGAUAUAAGUCCCUACACUAGUGGACACCUGAUUUUUUUCCCCCUCAGGGAGUGUGUCAGAGUUGUAGAGACAGGCCCCAGGGCAGAUGGAAAUGGCUUGCCUGGAUUUCCUCUGCGCUAGUAUAGCACUGUCUGUCCCCAGACCGGCACCAAGCAGCAGGCCUGGGAAAGAUUUAGUGCUGGACACCUAAUUUUUGACAAAGAAACAAAACAAUACAUUUUGAAAAAAGAUACAAUCAUCAAUAAGUGAUGCUGAUCAAACUACAUAGCUGCACAUACAAGAAUAAGAAUAGAUUCAUGUCUAUCAGCCUGUAUAAAAUGCAACUCCAAAGAUAUCAAGGACAGCAACAUAAAACUAGACAUCCUGAAUCUGGAAAGGAUUUUCUGAGCAGGAUCUCAAUAGUUUUGGCAUUAAGACCAAAAACCAACAAAUGGUUCUAAUGACGUUAAAAGUUUCUAUUACAGCCCAGGACCCCUUCAUUUGAGCAAAGAGGCAUCAUACAGAGCAGGAAAAAUGCUUUACAUGUGACUAUACAAAGAACUAAAAAAAAAAAAAAAAAAAAAAAAAG
Molecule: long non-coding RNA, 1132 nt
Organism: Mus musculus (house mouse)
Lineage: Eukaryota; Metazoa; Chordata; Mammalia; Rodentia; Muridae
Product: predicted gene, 51621
Exons: 2
Source: RefSeq, a predicted model, not a curated record